Long non-coding RNA from Panthera uncia (snow leopard), 607 nucleotides. RefSeq lists it as uncharacterized. The record is from RefSeq and is a predicted model, not a curated record. The transcript has 3 exons. NCBI's taxonomy places the organism in Eukaryota, Metazoa, Chordata, Mammalia, Carnivora, Felidae.
CACUGUGUGGGGGUUAAGUCUUCAACAUACGAAUUUUGGGGACACACACACAGUUAAAUUCACAGGACAAGAUAAUAUAAUGAAAGGAAUUCCAAUGAUGGUUUGAACAUCUAUAAUUAUUCAGAAUUUCCACUUCCCUUGAUGACAACAACAGAUAUGGAUACUAUCUAGUAAGAGGAACACAGAAAGCCACACCUCAGAAAAGUCUUCUUCACUGCAGCGAUCACAAGGAAGGCUUUAGUGGAGUCUCUCACAUGUGCAUUGCCAUCACCUUCUAUCAUAAAAAGAAGAUGUCUGAUAUUAUUUCUACAAACAUAAUAUGUCAUGCUUGCAAAAUUCACAUUAUAAAUGUCUGCUUAAAGGUGUGCCAACAUCUUGUUUAAUAUUUCUAUGAAAGAACAGAAAGAAGGAGAUGCACCUUGAAUCUGCCUCAAGUGAAUCUUGGAGUUUUGAUUUCACAUUAUUGCUGCCAAUCAUUUCUGCUCCAGAGAAAACUAUUAAAGGAGUUGGAAAAAUCCCACUGUUGAAGCUUUCUAUGCUUAUAGUCAAACUUUCUAUUUUGACUCUUCCUAAAAGACAAAUAUUUGAAACAGAGGAACCUUGCAAG